Molecule: small nucleolar RNA, 99 nt
Filed under: Arabidopsis lyrata subsp. lyrata
Lineage: Eukaryota; Viridiplantae; Streptophyta; Magnoliopsida; Brassicales; Brassicaceae
Description: snoRNA snoZ279_R105_R108
Rfam family: Small nucleolar RNA Z279/snoR105/snoR108
About the family: This family includes the plant snoRNAs known as Z279, snoR105 and snoR108. All three are members of the C/D class of snoRNA which contain the C (UGAUGA) and D (CUGA) box motifs.
Source: Rfam by way of RNAcentral
AAAUGAGGAGUGGUUAAAAAACUCGCUUAAUGCGAGAAGAGUGUUUCGCUCAGCCUGUUACGACAAAUGAGCACUCUCCUUCUUUUAUCAUUUUAAAUU